This 253-nucleotide ribosomal RNA is filed under the name uncultured bacterium. RNAcentral's name for it is "partial 16S ribosomal RNA". It matches the Rfam family "Bacterial small subunit ribosomal RNA", at positions 524 to 776 of the family's 1533-position model. The record is from RNAcentral.
UACGAAGGGGGCUAGCGUUGUUCGGAUUUACUGGGCGUAAAGCGCGCGUAGGCGGGUUGUUAAGUCGGGGGUGAAAUCCUGGAGCUCAACUCCAGAACUGCCUUCGAUACUGGCAACCUUGAGGCCGGGAGAGGUGUAUGGAACUCCUAGUGUAGAGGUGGAAUUCGUAGAUAUUAGGAAGAACACCAGUGGCGAAGGCGAUACACUGGCCCGGAUCUGACGCUGAGGCGCGAAAGCGUGGGGAGCAAACAGG